GACGAACGCUGGCGGCGUGCCUAACACAUGCAAGUCGAACGGAAAGGCCCUGCUUUUGCGGGUUGCUCGAGUGGCGAACGGGUGAGUAAAACGUGAGUAACCCGUACUUGUAUUUGGGAUAAAUUCACGUAAAAGCGGCUAAUACCGCGUAUGAGCUCUUGAUGCAUGGGGGGGGUUGGUAAGAUUCGGCGGUUUGGGAUGGUCUGGAGGGUUAUCAGCUUGUUGGUGUGGUAGUGGCUUACAAGGGCUUUGACGGGUAGCCGGCCUGAGAGGGUGACCGGCGUCAUUGGGCCUGAGAGAGGGCCCAGACGGCUACGGGCGGCAGCGGUGGGGAGCCUUACACAGUGACGGGAAGCCUGAUGUAGCGGCGCCGCGAGCGUGAUGACGUCCUUCGAGUUAUGAACCGCUUUCUCCUUUGAUAUGGCGUGAGUGACGGUAAUGAAUAAGGAAGCAACGGCUAACUACGUG
RNAcentral lists this ribosomal RNA (468 nucleotides) under uncultured bacterium. Its description in RNAcentral is "partial 16S ribosomal RNA". It matches the Rfam family "Bacterial small subunit ribosomal RNA", at positions 28 to 507 of the family's 1533-position model. The record is from RNAcentral.